Molecule: ribosomal RNA, 495 nt
Filed under: uncultured bacterium
Lineage: Bacteria
Description: partial 16S ribosomal RNA
Rfam family: Bacterial small subunit ribosomal RNA
Source: RNAcentral
AUGAACGCUGGCGGCGUGCCUAAUACAUGCCAGUCGAGCGAACAGACGAGGAGCUUGCUCCUCUGACGUUAGCGGCGGACGGGUGAGUAACACGUGGAUAACCUACCUAUAAGACUGGGAUAACUUCGGGAAACCGGAGCUAAUACCGGAUAAUAUAUUGAACCGCAUGGUUCAAUAGUGAAAGACGGUUUUGCUGUCACUUAUAGAUGGAUCCGCGCCGCAUUAGCUAGUUGGUAAGGUAACGGCUUACCAAGGCAACGAUGCGUAGCCGACCUGAGAGGGUGAUCGGCCACACUGGAACUGAGACACGGUCCAGACUCCUACGGGAGGCAGCAGUAGGGAAUCUUCCGCAAUGGGCGAAAGCCUGACGGAGCAACGCCGCGUGAGUGAUGAAGGUCUUCGGAUCGUAAAACUCUGUUAUUAGGGAAGAACAAAUGUGUAAGUAACUAUGCACGUCUGACGGUACCUAAUCAGAAAGCCACGGCUAACUACGUG